UACAGAGGGUGCGAACGUUGCUCGGAUUUACUGGGCGUAAAGCGCUUGUAGGCGGGCGAAUGUGUCGGGGGUGAAAUCCCUGAGCUUAACUCAGGAACUGCAUUCGAAACUAUUCGUCUUGAGGAAUUGAGAGGAGAACGGAAUUCCCGGUGUAGAGGUGAAAUUCGUAGAUAUCGGGAGGAACACCAGAUGCGAAGGCGGUUCUCUGGAAAUUAUCUGACGCUGAGAAGCGAAAGCGUGGGGAGCAAACAGG
RNAcentral lists this ribosomal RNA (253 nucleotides) under uncultured bacterium. RNAcentral describes it as "partial 16S ribosomal RNA". It matches the Rfam family "Bacterial small subunit ribosomal RNA", at positions 524 to 776 of the family's 1533-position model. The record is from RNAcentral.